RNAcentral lists this microRNA precursor (83 nucleotides) under Arabidopsis thaliana (thale cress). Its description in RNAcentral is "miR5643b stem-loop (ath-MIR5643b)". It matches the Rfam family "MIR5643 microRNA precursor family". The record is from miRBase by way of RNAcentral. Lineage: Eukaryota; Viridiplantae; Streptophyta; Magnoliopsida; Brassicales; Brassicaceae.
GUGUAGCCGAAGUCCGUAUGAGUCUUUGUCUUUGUAUCCUCUAACAAGGAUAUAAUACUUAGGCUUUUAAGAUCUGGUUGCGA